AUCUGUAAUCUGUAAUCUGUAUAAUAAAUUCUGCCAGUCAAGGCACACCUCCAAUUAUAGCUGGAGUGACAUCCACCACCACGAAUAUAUAUAUAAUUAUCACACAAAUAAUGGUUCCAUCCACCGGAAUAUUAUAUACACAAAUGUCAAUUUAUACUAUACGCAAUAGGCAAUUUUAAAAUCUAAAAUUAUCUAAAUAAGAA
RNAcentral lists this long non-coding RNA (203 nucleotides) under Mytilus galloprovincialis (Mediterranean mussel). Lineage: Eukaryota; Metazoa; Mollusca; Bivalvia; Mytilida; Mytilidae. The record is from RNAcentral.